Molecule: long non-coding RNA, 1135 nt
Filed under: Sus scrofa (pig)
Lineage: Eukaryota; Metazoa; Chordata; Mammalia; Artiodactyla; Suidae
Description: lncRNA (ENSSSCG00040024764.1)
Source: RNAcentral
UCCGGCCCCGCCCGCCUUCCGAGCCGCCCGGGAAUCCCGGGCCCUUCGCUGCAGGAGGGAUUUGGGAAUCCUGGGUAGGCCUGGGCGGGCCCAGGCCUCCAGGCGGAGCGUCCCCAGUCCGGAGGGACCCACACCCUCCUUGAAUCCUUCCACCCCUCGGGGAGCCCCACGCUGGCCCCCUGCCUAUCCCCCAAUUUCCACUCAGCUAACUUUCCAAAGUCAUUACACAGCAGUAGGAAGCCCAUCUCUCCUGUGAGGAAACCGAGGCCUAGAGAAGCCACCCGAUCCCCGAAGGAAUCUGACCCCUGACCUCGCUGAGCCUAGGUUUUCUCAUAUGUAAAACACAAACAAUCACUACCAGAAUGAAUUUUGCAGCUCUUGUGUGGACCCAGGGUCCGGCGCAGAGCAGGGACUCUAAUCAGUUACACAACGACUAUUGUUUCUGCGUGUUCACGUGCUUUUAUUAUCUUAUUUGAAGUAGACAAAAGGGGAAACUGAGACUCAGAGAGGCUGAGUUACUUGCCUUAAGUCACACAGCUUGCCAGGGGUUUCCGAGCGUGGGGCCUUGCAGCCCAGGUCUCCUGAGUUCCAUGUCUUGUUCUGUUCUGGUGCUGCAAGCCCAGUCAUUUCAGCAACUACUUUAGGGAGCUGGGUUUUUAUCUUUUAUCCAGAGGGCAGCAGCAGGUCAAAAAUUUAUUGUUGUUUCCUGUCAAAAGGCCUAGCAGGGCAGAUAUUGCUAGUUAUACAGUCAAACAGGUAAGGAGUUCCCAUCGUGGCACAGUGGAAACCCGACUAGAAACCAUGAGGUUUCGGGUUCUCUCCCUGGCCUUGCUCAGUGGGUUAAGGAUCCGCUGUUACUGUGAGCUGUGUUGUAGGUCACAGACGCAGUUUGGAUCUGGCAUUGCUGUGGCUGUGGUGUAGGCCAGCAGCUAUAGCUCCAAUUAGACCUCUAGCCUGGGAACCUCCACAUGCUGCGGGUGUGGCCCUGAAAAGACAAAACAAACAAACAAACAAAACAGGUAAAAUCUCUCUGAUGGUAGCUUCUACCUUUUUUCAUUGGCUUGGGAGAGAGGGGUGGAGGAAUAGCUUUGAAUGGAACACACCCUGAAGGGGUAAGGCUCUCCUGGGUUUUUUU